Molecule: long non-coding RNA, 1440 nt
Filed under: Homo sapiens (human)
Lineage: Eukaryota; Metazoa; Chordata; Mammalia; Primates; Hominidae
Description: GOT1 divergent transcript
Source: RNAcentral
GAGCGAGCGGCGGGUGUCCCUGAGAGGCCACCUUUCGACCUUCGAGGGCCAGGAGGAUACGGGGAGGUGGCCGGAGGGAGUUCCCGAACACAGGUCUUCCUGUUCCCGCCGAGCAGGUGUUGGCGGUGCCAGGCCCGGCCUGGCGGGCCCGGGCUGGCAGCCAAAUACCCAGCGUCUGUGCUCGGGACGGGAGUGUUCGUCCAGGACGUGCAGCUCCGGAGCCUGCGCGGGCGACCUUGACCACCUUUGUCGGCUGUUUCCCCCUGAGGGAAGUAUACCUGUCCUGCCAGCCUUGGUCUCUGGCAGGGAAGGUCCUUCCAACAGAGAGGGAAUUGCUUAGAAUUGACUCAACACUGCCUCCUUGCUGAAUGGAUAAUUCAAGCAAACAACUCAAGAGCUGGAUGCUGCCCAGACAGGUAGGCAGCCAGAUAAAGUGAGUGUCCAGGGAAAGAGCAGUAAGGGUCAGAAGAGAAAGAGCCUGGUGUUCUCACUGCCUCCUGCCUUCCUUAUGACUGUCUGUUCAGAAGUCCUCCUAGCAUCUUUCUUCUGCCUUCCCCUGCUCCUGUCCCUGAAACCUUUUCUUCAAAAGAAGUGGAAAAGAGGAACUGGGAACCCAUAUAGCAACAGCAUCACCUGGAAUGAAUUCCUUUAGAACAUACUGUCUUGGAAAUCUGAAGCCUGCAGGGCUGGACAGGCAAGAAGAGCAGUGAGCACUGCAUGAACCUUUCUCUCCUUCCCUCCCUUACGUAUGACUCCUCCCAUAAUCCGCACACAUGGAUUGAACCAAGUGAGGGUAUUUUUCUGUUUCCUACCUCAUAGAAGGGCAUAGAGUGGACACGGUCUAAGGCAUGUACUCCGAAAUAUUUUUCAAAUGGAAAAGAAAACAGAGAACACAAUUUUCAAAAUAUCUAGAGCCCUCCAAGAAGUCUUUGUAGAGAUCUAUAAAAUCUCAAGGCAAUUUAAAGAAUAGAAAAAUGUUUUAGAAACACUAUUCUCUCCACAUCCUGGGGCAGCAGCCUUCUCCAAAGAAACAGAAAGAAGGAAAUGGAUUGCCUUAGCAAAAAAACAAAUGAAGACACUCCAAAUAACAGAAGAAUGGGAAGGCUACAGACCUUGAAGUCAGAAGAAAAUUUCCUCUCCUUGCCCCGUUUCUCCUUAAAUGGAUCACCAGUACAGUCUCUUACUUCUAGAGCCAUGUUAAGCUUUCUUCCCCAAAGUUGUAAUGUCCUUCUUUUGGUUGUGUCGUGUCCUAAAAUCCUACUCUUUGGUACAAGAUGAAGGUAUAUGAAGAGAUAAUGAAGGAAACAAAUUCAAUGUGUUUGCCAAGAACACAGUCUUUUAAAUAACUCUUAAAGGGUUCGUUUAAAACAGUGUAAUAAAUUGUGGUAAUCUAGUACACAAAGCUAGUAGGAACCUCGUUUAUUAAUAAUAUUUCAACAU